This 774-nucleotide ribosomal RNA is filed under the name uncultured Neocallimastigales. RNAcentral describes it as "partial large subunit ribosomal RNA". It matches the Rfam family "Eukaryotic large subunit ribosomal RNA", at positions 24 to 644 of the family's 3401-position model. Lineage: Eukaryota; Fungi; Neocallimastigomycota; Neocallimastigomycetes; Neocallimastigales. The record is from RNAcentral.
UAUCUCUGUAGAGUCUGCAUAUCAAUAAGCGGAGGAAAAGAAACUAACAAGGAUUCCCUUAGUAACGGCGAGUGAAGCGGGAAGAGCUCAAAUUUGAAAUCUUCAAGGUUCUACCUUGACGAAUUGUAGUUUAAAGAAGUGUUUUCUGUUAGAUGAGUAGCAAAAGUUCCUUGGAAUGGGACAUCAUAGAGGGUGAGAAUCCCGUAUUUGGUUAUUCAUUCUAGCUUUGUGAUGCACUUUCAAAGAGUCGGAUUGUUUGGGAAUGCAGUCCAAAAUGGGUGGUAAAUUUCAUCUAAAGCUAAAUAUUGGCGAGAGACCGAUAGCGAACAAGUACCGUGAGGGGAAGAUGAAAAGAACUUUGAAAAGAGAGUUAAACAGUACGUGAAAUUGUCAAAAGGGAAGCGUUUGACACCAGUGUUGUUUUUCCGAAAAUCAAUUACGAAUGGCUUGAUUUUGUGUUGUAUUGACCUUAUCAGCUUUCUUCACUUUUUUCGAGUCUUUCUUAAUGCACUUUUCGGUUAACAAGUCAACAUCAAUUUCUUUUGUUGUAAAAGAGUAUUCGGAAGGUGGCUUUCUUUUCGGAGAAAGUGUUUAUAGCCCUAUACUUCUACAAUCGGAGAGAUUGAGGUCUGCAGCGUAGAUCCUUCGGGGUUAGAUACACUUGUGCUAAGUUGUAGCUUUUCAUAGACAACUUGUUGACUAUGUUUAGUCAUGCGGCUUACUCGCUUGUGCUAUUUUACCUACGCUUAGGAUGUUGACUGAUAUGUAGUCGUA